UCGUUUGACUUCCUGGUUCUAUGAAGCCACUCCCUCUAAAAUACGCAAUGUGCUCAGAUUGGUUAGGUGGCCCAGUGUAUUGUGAUUCGCUGAAGCGUCCGGAAACGCCACGCCCCUUACCAUUAGUUGUUACAUGUGCUUUAGUGGAAAUGUAAAUAAUGGCGUCUAUAUUGCUGUAUCAAAUUGAGCCGAAUCAGAUCCAGAUGAAGAGGGUCAAGCAGAACCUCUGCAAUCGCGGCUUUUAAAGGACGUUUAUGAAUGUGACCCCAGUUGAGGUCAUUAUGGCCAGUUGUGACACAUCCACAUCCACCACGUCUGCACACGGCUUAAACUACACAGUGGUAACAGCCGUAUCAGACGCGGUGCCCAGAGAGCUGCAGAGACCAUGGGAAGAGACCUCAGUCUGCCAGACGUCAAUGUCUGCAGGUUUGGCUGGGGUGGACUGCGAUAGAGAGGAUUUCUCCCAUUCCCUGCGAGGAAGAGCAGCACCAGAUGUCUUCCUCAUCCACUGUGACGGAAACGAUAUAGGGGAGGUCAGCAGCGUACAGCUGGUGAAUGCCAUGAAGGAGGAAGUGCACCAGCUUAAGCUCCGGCACCCUGGCAUGAAGAUCAUGUUGUCGGAUGUGACCCAGAGGUGCCGGUGGAAGGCUGGUGUGAAUCCGAUAUGAAGCUGAUGGGUCUGCCUAAACCCAGGAGUGAUGGACUGAAGAAUUUUCAAUGCUCUUAUCCAGUUUUUUUUUUUUUCCUUCUUUUUUUUUCUUAUAAUCAAUAAAAAGGUGAUUUACAAAUUCUGAGUUGAAAGUCAUUUUCUUCACAGUAGAAAUAUUUUGUCAUUUAAUUUAAAUUAUAUUAGGUCAGGUACAGGUUUACUAAAACAUAACUGGGCAGGGUUUGAAAGUUUCCUUUGCAAAUCAGUACAGGUUGGUAUUGAAAAGUCGUUUAUGAAUGUA
Ctenopharyngodon idella (grass carp) is the source of this 950-nucleotide long non-coding RNA. RefSeq lists it as uncharacterized. NCBI's taxonomy places the organism in Eukaryota, Metazoa, Chordata, Actinopteri, Cypriniformes, Xenocyprididae. The record is from RefSeq and is a predicted model, not a curated record. The transcript is spliced from 4 exons.